CCUCGUCCGUCUCGUACUCCCACAUCCACACCUGCUCCGCCUCAUCGCUACGCCAACCGUGAAGGAACAGAGCAUGCUGGAAUCUCGUCCAGGAACGGGUGGAAAACCACAUAUCGAAAAUGCACUGCAGGAGGAGAGAGAGAAUGAGGAUGUGCUGGACACAGAGAGUCUCUGUGAGGUACAGUCACCUUUAGUGUGAGAUGCUCCGUCUCCAGGAAAGAUCUCACCUUGUUGGCGAGUUUCUUGUUGAGCUCCUCGGCGAUCGCGUCGUUCAGCUGUCGGUGGAAACUCCACGGCGGAAUCC
Sinocyclocheilus anshuiensis is the source of this 304-nucleotide long non-coding RNA. RefSeq lists it as uncharacterized. Lineage: Eukaryota; Metazoa; Chordata; Actinopteri; Cypriniformes; Cyprinidae. The record is from RefSeq and is a predicted model, not a curated record. The transcript is spliced from 3 exons.